UAAAGGUUGCAAUAGCACUGUCAAUGGCAGACUUGGUUACUCCAAACAAAUUUGGCUUUGCAUGUAGAAAUGUUGUGUAAUGCACCUUUAACAGAAAAUCACCUUCUAGUGUAAAUAAAUAAAUAAUAAAUAAAUUAUGCUGUGUAUAUGUAUGCUUCCUGAAGUCAAAUGACCAUAUCGCCCUCUAGUGGCCUCAUGGGUGGAAUAGUAUUUAAGAUUUUUUAAAUAAUAAUUCAUUCCUAAUUUUUUUUAUUUUAAUAAGCUGAAAAUCCGGUGUUUAUUUGUCAAAUGGUUAUGUUAUAUUUCAGUCUUCUGUGAUGUAUAUAAAGUUUCAUAUUGGGAUGCAAACUCAAAAUGUAAUACAUUUCAACAGGUGUCUUCUUUUUUUAAGCCCAUAACCAUGUGUGUGAGAUGUUUACUUUUGUUUCAAAGUAGAUUUGUUUAAGACUACCAAGAAGGUUAAUGAAGUGAGAAGAAGGCAUUGGUCUGAAGCCAAAAAAGAAAGGAAAUUCAUGGCUACUCCACCCAUGCUCUACCAAGAACAAUGUCCAAUGUUGGUUUCUCAAGACAUACCAGCCAGGAAAGUGGAACAUUUCCGACGCUAAGCUGAAGCCACAGGAACCUCAACCUAGUGAUGCCGUGAUCAGACACUCCUGCACACCAAAGACAAUUGGCUAUCUGGCCAGGGUUGGCCUCUUCUCAGGGGAGGUGGAGCCCUAUGGGACGACCCGAGACAAAGUUUGUCUGGAGGUUAUGGACCGCCUCAAGGCACAGCCUGAUGGGAAAUACGUGGUGGUCACGUGGGGACACCUUUAUUUGUUCACACCUGUCCGUGUUCAGAUAUAGCCCAGGGAACUCGUCCAUCCUGGCUGAUCAGAUCGCCUUGAACCUGGUGUGCCCAGAGCGGUGAGUGAAAGAGGAAUGGCUUUGUUGUUUCUGGUUAGAAAGUCAAGAAAAAUGAUUUUAGUCCAGGGUUUUGUUUAUGUUCAAUACAUCCAACUGGAUGAAUGCUUAUAAAUGUUACUUAUGCUUAUAAAUAUCUAAUUAUUCUGUUGUUUGUGUCUCACCUCUUCCCCCUACACCCCCUUACCAAUUUUAUCACAUCAGCACACACACUCAAUACCAUGCUUUUCACACAUUCACACACACAUCAAUAAACAUCACAUACACACACACACACACAUACGCAUACACUCUUCCCCCAGUCACCGAGGCGGAAGGAGGGCUCCUAUCCCUCAUUCCACCUUCAUUAACUAUCUCUCCUUCCACCUUCAUUAUCUAUCCCUCAUUCCACCUUCAUUAACUAUCCCUCCUUCUACCUUCAUGAACUAUUCCUCCUUCCACUCUCAUUAACUAUCCCUCCUUCCACCUUCAUUAACUAUGGCUCCUUCCACCUUCAUUAACUAUCCCUCCUUCCACCUUCAUUAACUAUCCCUCCUUCCACCUUCAUUAACUAUCCCUCCUUCCACCUUCAUUAACUAUGGCUCCUUCCACUCUCAUUAACUAUCCCUCCUUCCACCUUCAUUAACUAUCCCUCCUUCCACCUUCAUUAACUAUGGCUCCUUCCACUCUCAUUAACUAUCCUGCCGUCCACCUUCAGUAACUCUCUUCUGACAAUCUAAGAUGAUCAAGCA
Molecule: long non-coding RNA, 1634 nt
Organism: Oncorhynchus kisutch (coho salmon)
Lineage: Eukaryota; Metazoa; Chordata; Actinopteri; Salmoniformes; Salmonidae
Source: Ensembl